Molecule: ribosomal RNA, 497 nt
Filed under: uncultured bacterium
Lineage: Bacteria
Description: partial 16S ribosomal RNA
Rfam family: Bacterial small subunit ribosomal RNA
Source: RNAcentral
GAUGAACGCUGGCGGCGUGCCUAAUACAUGCAAGUCGAGCGAACAGACGAGGAGCUUGCUCCUCUGACGUUAGCCGCGGACGGGUGAGUAACACGUGGAUAACCUACCUAUAAGACUGGGAUAACUUCGGGAAACCGGAGCUAAUACCGGAUAAUAUAUUGAACCGCAUGGUUCAAUAGUGAAAGACGGUUUUGCUGUCACUUAUAGAUGGAUCCGCGCCGCAUUAGCUAGUUGGUAAGGUAACGGCUUACCAAGGCAACGAUGCGUAGCCGACCUGUGAGGGUGAUCGGCCACCCUGGAACUGAGACACGGUCCAGACUCCUACGGGAGGCAGCAGUAGGGAAUCUUCCGCAAUGGGCGAAAGCCUGACGGAGCAACGCCGCGUGAGUGAUGAAGGUCUUCGGAUCGUAAAGCUCUGUUAUUAGGGAAGAACAAAUGUGUAAGUAACUAUGCACGUCUUGACGGUACCUAAUCAGAAAGCCACGGCUAACUACGUG